This 466-nucleotide ribosomal RNA is filed under the name Vreelandella stevensii. Its description in RNAcentral is "partial 16S ribosomal RNA". It matches the Rfam family "Bacterial small subunit ribosomal RNA", at positions 338 to 796 of the family's 1533-position model. Lineage: Bacteria; Pseudomonadati; Pseudomonadota; Gammaproteobacteria; Oceanospirillales; Halomonadaceae. The record is from RNAcentral.
CCUACGGGGGGCAGCAGUGGGGAAUAUUGGACAAUGGGGGCAACCCUGAUCCAGCCAUGCCGCGUGUGUGAAGAAGGCCCUCGGGUUGUAAAGCACUUUCAGUGAGGAAGAACGCCUGGUGGUUAAUACCCAUCAGGAAAGACAUCACUCACAGAAGAAGCACCGGCUAACUCCGUGCCAGCAGCCGCGGUAAUACGGAGGGUGCGAGCGUUAAUCGGAAUUACUGGGCGUAAAGCGCGCGUAGGUGGCUUGAUAAGCCGGUUGUGAAAGCCCCGGGCUCAACCUGGGAACGGCAUCCGGAACUGUCAAGCUAGAGUGCAGGAGAGGAAGGUAGAAUUCCCGGUGUAGCGGUGAAAUGCGUAGAGAUCGGGAGGAAUACCAGUGGCGAAGGCGGCCUUCUGGACUGACACUGACACUGAGGUGCGAAAGCGUGGGUAGCAAACAGGAUUAGAUACCCGUGUAGUUC